RNA transcript from Neoarius graeffei (lesser salmon catfish), 1201 nucleotides. RefSeq lists it as uncharacterized. The record is from RefSeq and is a predicted model, not a curated record. The transcript is spliced from 9 exons. Lineage: Eukaryota; Metazoa; Chordata; Actinopteri; Siluriformes; Ariidae.
UCUUGGUCUGCGACACGGCGCCACGAAAGCAUGGAGGGAAGAGGUGUUCAACAACGUGUCAGUAUACGGGAUGCAGCACAGAACCUCCUCUCUGUCUUGCAACCUAUUGUCCAGCAAUUGCCAGAUGAACCUGUGGGAACAUCUCAACCGCAAAGUAACCUAACUGCAGGGCAACAGCCUACAGUUCAUCAGGAAAUGACCAGGUCAUUUCCUGGAUUGUUCCAGAGAGGUCAAAGAGGUAGAAAGAGGCCAUAUGUUGGAGUAAGGCAAAAUGUCUCGGUCUCCAAGACAUGCUCUUUUAUUUUUUACCUGCUUCCAAAGACCAUGAGCCGCACACCACAGCCGUCUGAUGAAGUAUCCUAUUUGAUGUCAGGGCUUGGCCGGAAGAAUGUUUCUAUGUCAGAGGACAGUGACCAUACCCAGAUCACAUCACUUCUAACCCAAGAGUUUCCCAAAAUGGGGAAUUUAACUGGGGGAUGGCUCCUCUACAAAGCCUCAGGAGGCACUGGACAACGCAAGCUAAGCUUGCUUCCACCCGAAGCAGAGGGGUACUCUGCCAGACAGUUAAAAAUUGCUUCUAACAAUGGCAAAAACACACUAUUCAUUAUGCCUCUGCAAGAAGAACUUGAUACAACUCCCCUCCCACAAGAUGACAGUUUCUUUUCAAAAAUGCCGAAAAGUGACUGUAAAAAAUGUGGGUCAAGAAUGCCGGUGCAUGUUCUGCUAGUCCACCUGGAGAAAUGUCAAGGGACACUACAGGACUCUGAAGCAUGUGAUGAGAUCCCAGAGGACAAUGCAACAUGUCCAGUGUGUUCAUGUGUAUUCUCCUCUGCCACAAUUGAAAUGCAUGCCAGCAUGUGUGGUGAGAGGGACAUUGAUCCAUCAGAUGGCACAGUUGGAGGCCCUAGAAGGUCCAUCCAGAAGUUUCUCAGUAGCAGCACCCACUGAUUCUACUACAGAUGAGUGGCAAGUAGCCUUGGACCCUGCUAAAGCUGCCAUACUGUUCAGAGAGGCUCUUCUCAAAACGCAUGACUCUGGACCUCCACUGUGUUUAAGGAUGGAUUUAAGAGAGAGCCCAGAAGACCAGGACAGGACAAUUGUUGCAUUCUAUAAAGCACACCAAAAAAACUGGGCAGGUCCAUUGAAUUGCAAAUUGGAGGGGGACACUGCUAUUGGAGAGGGGGUGACCCGUUUCUUCUCC